CUCACACCUCUGUUAGAAUAAAGCUUCAUUAUCUUUAAAUGCAAAUAGAGCUUUAUUCACUUCACAUGCAAUUUUAAAAACUGAGUAACUCACUAAAGUUCUUUCCUACGUUUAUAAAAGUGAACCUGAGAGCUCAUUUUGUAUGAGAUAUAAUUGAAAUUGAAUUUUGAUUAUGUUGGAAUUUCCCCAUCGGCAAAUUCUUCUCUCUUUCCUUAUCUUCUCUAUCUUCUAUCUUCUGCUCUUUUUUCUCUCCCUUUUCUUCUCUCAUCUCUCUUGGUUAAGUUCUAUUCAAUUGGUAUUCACUCUUUUGAUCAAAUCUAAAUCAAUUUUAUGUUUCGUAGUAUUCUUUGUCAAAAGAAACCAAUAAAAGAAUUAGUUUUCAGUAUUACUCAUUGAGCAAAAAAAUUUAUAGUCCUAUUCCAAAUUUUAAAAAAGAAGAAAAAAAAAGAAGCAAGCUGUCGGCAGAUAAUUGAUUGAAGUUAACAUGCUGUCAGAACCACCACUGCUGGAGAACUAGAGUCAAAAAAGAAAAUUACCGAAGUCCCCUUAUAUCACUCAUAUCAUUUCUACUGUUCACUGUCAUCAAGACAAACAUCGUAUUUGUGACAUCUUGAUUCUUGACAUCAUAAUUUCAAGGUUUGUGGCUUAUCAUUACUAUGAAGUUAUGGUCAUCAUUUUCUACUUCUAUUAUUGAUAUACAGGGGGAAAAGAUCAUAUAAUUAUUUUUUCUACAGGGUUCACACAAGAAUCAAAACCAUCAGAUUAAAUAUAUAUCUGCUGGGAAAACUGCCAUGACCACUUAAUCUUCUUAAUCACAAUAUGUUCAUUACUUUUACAUAAAUUUGAAUUGCACAAGCUGAAUCUAUCUUUAUCCAAUAUCUAUCUCAAAAUGUGACCGAUUAGUGUUAGCGCACAAGACACUUUCUUAAGAUCUAAAGCCACUAAUAGUUCACAUGAACAUACAUUAAGUUUUAUUACUUUUCAAGUUAUGCAAUAUGCAUUAAACCCAUAUCCAAUUUCAAUCUAAACAACUCAGUCCAAAAACAGUAAAACACCAUAACCGAAAGCAUUAAUCUCUUGAUAAUUGGCAGCUUAGAUGACGACUCAAGCACCCAAUGAACAUCCAACCAACACAAUUAUACUUUCAUAACCUUUGUAGUAAAUGCUCA
This 1169-nucleotide long non-coding RNA is filed under the name Olea europaea subsp. europaea. The record is from RNAcentral. Lineage: Eukaryota; Viridiplantae; Streptophyta; Magnoliopsida; Lamiales; Oleaceae.